UAAAGACCCCAGUAGUCCUAGCCGUAAACUCUGUGAAUUAGAUGUUGCAUAUUCUUCGUGAAUAUGCAGUGUCGGAGCGAAGACAUUAAAUUCACCGCCUGGGAAGUACGGUCGCAAGGCUGAAACUUAAAGGAAUUGGCGGGAGAGCACUACAAGGGGUGCGGCGUGCGGUUUAAUCUAACUCUACGCAGAGAAUCUCACCAGCAGCGACGGCAGGAUGAAGGUCAGGUUGAAUGUCUUACCUAACGAGCCGAGAGGUAGUGCAUGGCCGUCGUCAGCUCGUGCCGUGAGGUGUCCUCUUAAGUGAGGUAACGAGCGAGACCCAUGCCCAUAAUUGCUAGCGGGUACUUUAGUAUGACUGAGCACAUUAUGGGGACUGCUGUGGAAACACAGAGGAAGGUGUGGGCUACGGUAGGUCUGUAUGCUCCGAAUCUGCUGGGCUACACGCGCGCAACAAUGACUGAGACAAUGGGAUGCAACACCGAAAGGUGGAGCUAAACCUCUAAACUCAGCCUUAGUUUAGAUUGGGGAUUGUAAUUCAUCCUCAUGACAGCGGAAUC
This 560-nucleotide ribosomal RNA is filed under the name uncultured archaeon. Its description in RNAcentral is "bacterial SSU rRNA". It matches the Rfam family "Archaeal small subunit ribosomal RNA", at positions 730 to 1289 of the family's 1478-position model. The record is from RNAcentral.